CCAAAUUGAGGAAGUAAAAGUCGUAACAAGGUCUCCGUCUGAUUGCACCUGCGAGAGGAGAUGUCAAUAUCAGGUUUUUCCUUGGGUUCCAUUAGAGGAAGUAAAAGUCGUAACAAGGUCUCCGUAGGUGAACCUGCGGAGGGAUCAUUACACAAAUAUGAAGGCGGGCUGGAACCUCUCGGGGUUACAGCCUUGCUGAAUUAUUCACCCUUGUCUUUUGCGUACUUCUUGUUUCCUUGGUGGGUUCGCCCACCACUAGGACAAACAUAAACCUUUUGUAAUUGCAAUCAGCGUCAGUAACAAAUUAAUAAUUACAACUUUCAACAACGGAUCUCUUGGUUCUGGCAUCGAUGAAGAACGCAGCGAAAUGCGAUAAGUAGUGUGAAUUGCAGAAUUCAGUGAAUCAUCGAAUCUUUGAACGCACAUUGCGCCCUUUGGUAUUCCAAAGGGCAUGCCUGUUCGAGCGUCAUUUGUACCCUCAAGCUUUGCUUGGUGUUGGGCGUCUUGUCUCUAGCUUUGCUGGAGACUCGCCUUAAAGUAAUUGGCAGCCGGCCUACUGGUUUCGGAGCGCAGCACAAGUCGCACUCUCUAUCAGCAAAGGUCUAGCAUCCAUUAAGCCUUUUUUUCAACUUUGACCUCGGAUCAGGUAUAGUUGGGUGAAUUU
This 664-nucleotide ribosomal RNA is filed under the name fungal endophyte sp. M13-3311. Its description in RNAcentral is "eukaryotic LSU rRNA". The stretch from base 316 to 469 matches the Rfam family "5.8S ribosomal RNA". The record is from RNAcentral. Lineage: Eukaryota; Fungi.